AGCAGCCGCGGUAAUUCCAGCUCCAAUAGCGUAUAUUAAAGUUGUUGCAGUUAAAAAGCUCGUAGUUGAAUUUCGGGGUUCUACCGUUGGUCGGGCUUUGUCUGUACUGGCGUGUAGAAUUUCUACCUUCUGGGGAACCAUCAUGUUAUUAAUUUAACGUGGUGGGAAACCAGGACCUUUACCUUGAAAAAAU
Molecule: ribosomal RNA, 193 nt
Filed under: uncultured Racocetra
Lineage: Eukaryota; Fungi; Glomeromycota; Glomeromycetes; Diversisporales; Gigasporaceae
Description: partial 18S ribosomal RNA
Rfam family: Eukaryotic small subunit ribosomal RNA
Source: RNAcentral